CCUACGGGGGGCUGCAGUCGAGAAUCUUCCGCAAUGGGGGAAACCCUGACGGAGCGACGCCGCGUGCGGGAUGAAGGCCUUCGGGUUGUAAACCGCUGUCGAAGGGGAGCAAAUUUUGAGCGAUCCUUGGAGGAAGCACCGGCUAAACUCGUGCCAGCAGCCGCGGUAAUACGAGUGGUGCAAACGUUAUUCGGAAUCACUGGGCUUAAAGGGUGCGUAGGCGGCUGCAGAAGUCAGGUGUGAAAUCCCUCGGCUCAACCGAGGAACUGCGCUUGAAACUCUGCGGCUCGAGGGAGACAGAGGUGAGCGGAACUGAUGGUGGAGCGGUGAAAUGCGUUGAUAUCAUCAGGAACACCGGUGGCGAAAGCGGCUCACUGGGUCUUUUCUGACGCUGAGGCACGAAAGCUAGGGGAGCAAACGGGAUUAGAUACCCUUGUAGU
This 440-nucleotide ribosomal RNA is filed under the name uncultured bacterium. RNAcentral's name for it is "bacterial SSU rRNA". It matches the Rfam family "Bacterial small subunit ribosomal RNA", at positions 338 to 794 of the family's 1533-position model. The record is from RNAcentral.